UGGGACCUAUAAUAAUUUAUCUGGAUUGUUGUAAUCUCUGGACUCGUUUUCGUGCGAGUAUGCUUUGUUUUGAUCCGAGACAAGUGGUUUUAUCGGGUGAAACCCGACGGAAUGCCAUUUUAACUUGAUUCAAGUGUCUACUCGCAUAUGAAGCAACGUUGAGUACACUUUAGCCGGGUUAAUCUAGGUGGUUCCACCACACAAGAUAAUAGAAAUAG
Molecule: long non-coding RNA, 218 nt
Filed under: Setaria viridis
Lineage: Eukaryota; Viridiplantae; Streptophyta; Magnoliopsida; Poales; Poaceae
Description: long non-coding RNA (SVIR_LNC004749)
Source: RNAcentral